CACUUGGAUGGGACCGAAUGGACUGUCACUGUCCCACCCCAUCCACACUCCACUAAGGAAUCAAGGACCACAGAGAAGCUUAUCGUAGCAAAUCCUAUUGUCGUCAUAUUGACAUAACCGCAGAACCAUCAGAAUCGCCCCCCCAAAACAAAAUCCUCCUUUGCCGCCCGAUUGCCCCAGCUCUCCUUCCUUCAUUCCUCCCGUGCUGAUGCUUUGCUUAGGGCUUUUCCAGCGAAAAAUAUCUGUGGCUCUGGC
Molecule: long non-coding RNA, 255 nt
Filed under: Drosophila guanche
Lineage: Eukaryota; Metazoa; Arthropoda; Insecta; Diptera; Drosophilidae
Source: RNAcentral